CGUGGCAGCCGCCCUCCCUGUCCUCCAGGAGCUCACUUGUGUCUGCCGUGAGCUCCUCGGGGCCAGAGCCCGUGUCUGCCUCAGUGCCAGC
Molecule: microRNA precursor, 91 nt
Filed under: Pteropus alecto (black flying fox)
Lineage: Eukaryota; Metazoa; Chordata; Mammalia; Chiroptera; Pteropodidae
Also listed under: 1 other name
Description: mir-339 microRNA precursor family
Rfam family: mir-339 microRNA precursor family
Source: Rfam by way of RNAcentral